RNAcentral lists this unclassified non-coding RNA (328 nucleotides) under soil metagenome. Its description in RNAcentral is "partial contains 5.8S ribosomal RNA, internal transcribed spacer 2, and large subunit ribosomal RNA". The stretch from base 1 to 120 matches the Rfam family "5.8S ribosomal RNA", at positions 35 to 154 of the family's 154-position model. The record is from RNAcentral.
GAUGAAGAACGCAGCGAAAUGCGAUAAGUAGUGUGAAUUGCAGAAUUCAGUGAAUCAUCGAAUCUUUGAACGCACAUUGCGCCCCUUGGUAUUCCAUGGGGCAUGCUUGUUCGAGCGUCAUUUGUACCCUCAAGCUUUGCUUGGUGUUGGGGCCUGCUGCACUGGCAGCCCUUAAAAUCAGUGGCGGCGCCAUCUGGCUCUAAGCGUAGUAAUUCUUCUCGCUAUGGAGUCCUGGUGGAUGCUUGCCAUCAACCCCCAAUUUUUCUAUGGUUGACCUCGGAUCAGGUAGGGAUACCCGCUGAACUUAAGCAUAUCAAUAAGCGGAGGA